RNAcentral lists this ribosomal RNA (468 nucleotides) under uncultured bacterium. RNAcentral's name for it is "partial 16S ribosomal RNA". It matches the Rfam family "Bacterial small subunit ribosomal RNA", at positions 28 to 507 of the family's 1533-position model. The record is from RNAcentral.
GACGAACGCUGGCGGCGUGCUUAACACAUGCAAGUCGAACGGAAAGGCCCUGCUCUUGUGGGGUGCUCGAGUGGCGAACGGGUGAGUAACACGUGAGUAACCUGCCCUUGACUUUGGGAUAACUUCAGGAAACUGGGGCUAAUACCGGAUAGGAGCUCCUGCUGCAUGGUGGGGGUUGGAGAGUUUCGGCGGUUGGGGAUAGACUCGCGGGUUAUCAGCUUGAUGGUGGGGUAGUGGCUUACCAAGGGUUUGACGGGUAGCCGGCCUGGGAGGGGGACCGGGCACAUUGGUACUGAGAGAGGGCGCAGUCGCCUAUGGGAGGCAGCAGGGGGGAAUAUUGCACAAUGGGCGGAAGCCAGAUGCAGCAACGCCGCGUGCGUGAUGACGGCCUUUGGGUUGUAAACAGCUUUGGCCGGUGACGAAGCGUGAGUGACGGUAAUGGGUAAAGAAGCACCGGCUAACUACGUG